AAGUUGAGCUGCCAUAGCAU
RNAcentral lists this unclassified non-coding RNA (20 nucleotides) under Chlamydomonas reinhardtii. RNAcentral's name for it is "small RNA Cre_0148". The record is from RNAcentral. Lineage: Eukaryota; Viridiplantae; Chlorophyta; Chlorophyceae; Chlamydomonadales; Chlamydomonadaceae.